Molecule: antisense RNA, 75 nt
Filed under: Streptomyces chattanoogensis
Lineage: Bacteria; Bacillati; Actinomycetota; Actinomycetes; Kitasatosporales; Streptomycetaceae
Description: ASpks TB sRNA
Rfam family: ASpks TB sRNA
Source: Rfam by way of RNAcentral
CUUGAGCGAACCGAGCCACAGCGGGCUCUGCGGGGCGCGGUCCUGGCCGUAGACGGCGAGCAGGGCAUGCGCCUC